UGGAUUAUGACUGAACGCCUC
RNAcentral lists this non-coding RNA (21 nucleotides) under Arabidopsis thaliana (thale cress). The record is from RNAcentral. Lineage: Eukaryota; Viridiplantae; Streptophyta; Magnoliopsida; Brassicales; Brassicaceae.